AGCCGCGGUAAUACGUAGGGUGCGAGCGUUGUCCGGAAUUAUUGGGCGUAAAGAGCUUGUAGGCGGUUUGUUGCGUCGGGAGUGAAAACUCGGAGCUUAACUCCGAGCUUGCUUCCGAUACGGGCAGACUAGAGGUAGGCAGGGGAGAGCGGAACUCCUGGUGUAGCGGUGGAAUGCGCAGAUAUCAGGAAGAACACCGGUGGCGAAGGCGGCUCUCUGGGCCUAUUCUGACGCUGAGGAGCGAAAGCGUGGGUAGCGAAC
RNAcentral lists this ribosomal RNA (261 nucleotides) under uncultured bacterium. RNAcentral's name for it is "partial 16S ribosomal RNA". It matches the Rfam family "Bacterial small subunit ribosomal RNA", at positions 513 to 773 of the family's 1533-position model. The record is from RNAcentral.